RNAcentral lists this ribosomal RNA (621 nucleotides) under Paroster gibbi. RNAcentral describes it as "partial 16S ribosomal RNA". The stretch from base 377 to 535 matches the Rfam family "Bacterial large subunit ribosomal RNA", at positions 2473 to 2632 of the family's 2925-position model. Lineage: Eukaryota; Metazoa; Arthropoda; Insecta; Coleoptera; Dytiscidae. The record is from RNAcentral.
UUAGAAUAGAAUUUAAGGUCUAACCUGCCCACUGAUUUAUUWAAUGGCCGCAGUAAUUUGACUGUGCAAAGGUAGCAUAAUAAUUAGUUUUUUAAWUAAAAGCUUGUAUGAAUGGUUGGACGAGAUAAAUACUGUCUCUGAAUAAUAAAUAGAAUUUAAUUUUUAAGUUAAAAAGCUUWAAUGAUAAUAAAAGACGAGAAGACCCUAUAGAUCUUUAUAAUAUUUUUUAUAUAUUUAAUUAAGAUUAUUUUAUUGUUUAUAAUAUAUAUUAWUGUAUUGGGGUAAUAGAAAGAUUGAAUUAAUUCUUUAUUAUUUAUAUAUAAAUUAAUAGAUUUAUGAUCCUUUAUUAAAGAUUGUAAGAUUAAGUUACCUUAGGGAUAACAGCGUAAUUUUUUUGAAGAGUUCAUAUCGAUAAAAAAGUUUGCGACCUCKAUGUUGGAUUAAAAAUUAUUCUAGGUGUAGUAGUUUAGAAUUUUGGUCUGUUCGACCAUUAAAUUUUUACAUGAUCUGAGUUCAGACCGGUGUAAGCCAGGUCGGUUUCUAUCUUUAUUWAAUUAAUAUAUUUUAGUACGAAAGGACCAAAUAUAGAAUAUAUUUAUAUUUUUUAUUUUUGAAUUUUAU